CCUACGGGAGGCAGCAGUGAGGAAUAUUGGUCAAUGGACGAGAGUCUGAACCAGCCAAGUAGCGUGAAGGAUGACUGCCCUAUGGGUUGUAAACUUCUUUUAUAAAGGAAUAAAACGAGGCACGUGUGCCUUUUUGCAUGUACUUUAUGAAUAAGGAUCGGCUAACUCCGUGCCAGCAGCCGCGGUAAUACGGAGGAUCCGAGCGUUAUCCGGAUUUAUUGGGUUUAAAGGGAGCGUAGAUGGGUUGUUAAGUCAGUUGUGAAAGUUUGCGGCUCAACCGUAAAAUUGCAAUUGAUACUCGCAGUCGUGAGUACAGUUGAGGUAGGCGGAAUUCGUGGUGUAGCGGUGAAAUGCUUAGAUAUCACGAAGAACCCCGAUUGCGAAGGCAGCUUACUAAACUGUGACUGACAUUGAUGCUCGAAAGUGUGGGUAUCAAACAGGAUUAGAUACCCCUGUAGUC
Molecule: ribosomal RNA, 460 nt
Filed under: uncultured bacterium
Lineage: Bacteria
Description: partial 16S ribosomal RNA
Rfam family: Bacterial small subunit ribosomal RNA
Source: RNAcentral